This 58-nucleotide microRNA precursor is filed under the name Strongyloides ratti. RNAcentral's name for it is "microRNA str-mir-8391 precursor". The record is from miRBase by way of RNAcentral. Lineage: Eukaryota; Metazoa; Nematoda; Chromadorea; Rhabditida; Strongyloididae.
UUGUGGAGUCGUGGAAAAAUGUAGAAUAUGAACUCAUCAAUCCUCGUACUUCACAACA